AGAACAGUGGGAGUUGACAAUUGGAAAGAAGGUACAGAAAAAGUUAAGGAGCAUAAAAACAGAAGCACAUAUGGUAAGCAUGGUAAGGUGGAGCAACUUUAAGCAGAUACCACUGGAAGAAGCUUUCAGAAGGGCAGAUAUGGAAGGCCAAGCCAGAAGAGAGGAAGAAUGACAACGAAACAGGGAGCUAAUGAGAAGACUGAUAGACAUUACACUCUAUCUUGUGUAACAAAAUGGAGCAUUCAGGGGUCAGAAUGAAGGAAUACAUCUCUGAACAAAGGAAAUUCCCUU
Long non-coding RNA from Thalassophryne amazonica, 291 nucleotides. RefSeq lists it as uncharacterized. The record is from RefSeq and is a predicted model, not a curated record. NCBI's taxonomy places the organism in Eukaryota, Metazoa, Chordata, Actinopteri, Batrachoidiformes, Batrachoididae. The transcript is spliced from 5 exons.